Molecule: ribosomal RNA, 119 nt
Filed under: Anolis carolinensis (green anole)
Lineage: Eukaryota; Metazoa; Chordata; Lepidosauria; Squamata; Anolidae
Source: RNAcentral
GAGAAGGGCCGAAAUAACCUAAAAGCACCAGAUCCCAUGUGAACUUGGAAGCCAAGCAGGGUCAGCCCUAGUUAGUAUUUGGAUUGGAGACAACCAAUGAAUCCCAGAUGCUGUAGACU